Molecule: ribosomal RNA, 223 nt
Filed under: uncultured bacterium
Lineage: Bacteria
Description: partial 16S ribosomal RNA
Rfam family: Bacterial small subunit ribosomal RNA
Source: RNAcentral
UACGUAGGCAGCAAGCGUUGUUCGGAGUUACUGGGCGUAAAGGGUGUGUAGGCGGUUAUUUAAGUUUGGUGUGAAAUCUCCCGGCUCAACCGGGAGGGUGCGCCGAAUACUGAAUGACUUGGAGUGCGGGAGAGGAAAGUGGAAUUCCUGGUGUAGCGGUGGAAUGCGCAGAUAUCAGGAGGAACACCAAUAGCGAAGGCAGCUCGCUGGGACGUUACUGACA